Long non-coding RNA from Hibiscus syriacus, 472 nucleotides. RefSeq lists it as uncharacterized. The record is from RefSeq and is a predicted model, not a curated record. The transcript has 2 exons. NCBI's taxonomy places the organism in Eukaryota, Viridiplantae, Streptophyta, Magnoliopsida, Malvales, Malvaceae.
AAUCUGAAAUUCUAGGAUCCGAUAACAAUGCUGCUAGUUAGGAGGGUUAGAAUAUGGUAACUUGACUACAUUCUCUUCAUGGCAUAUUUAACUAUGAUGGACAACCCAACAGGUUUAAUUUGAUAGAUGUGCGAAUUUAUUUAAGCUUAAUGUACCUUUUUUCUCUUCACACCACUCUCGUGUAGAAACGCUGCAACUUCCUAUCUUAUUACUACAAGUGAAGCUUCAUUCAAGUUUUUCUGAUUUAGUAUCUGUGGUCGGGUGAAAAUAGCCAAUAGAAACGUUCUUGAGCUAGGAAAACAUACAGGUCAUACUAUAUUUAUGUGGUUAAGAGAGGAUAAGAGCAAGUGUGUUAAAAGUUUUGAGUCAAAUUUUGAAAAGAAAAAAACAAAAAGGUUUUACAUAAAGCCUGUAAAAGAAAGGAUUUUGAUAAAGUCUUUGAAUUGACUACUUUAGAUAGCUGGAAAAAGUG